RNAcentral lists this ribosomal RNA (1576 nucleotides) under Salmonella enterica. RNAcentral's name for it is "partial 23S ribosomal RNA". It matches the Rfam family "Bacterial large subunit ribosomal RNA", at positions 1243 to 2802 of the family's 2925-position model. Lineage: Bacteria; Pseudomonadati; Pseudomonadota; Gammaproteobacteria; Enterobacterales; Enterobacteriaceae. The record is from RNAcentral. RNAcentral also lists the same sequence under 1 other name.
UAAGCCUGUGAAGGUGUGUCGUGAGGCAUGCUGGAGGUAUCAGAAGUGCGAAUGCUGACAUAAGUAACGAUAAAGCGGGUGAAAAGCCCGCUCGCCGGAAGACCAAGGGUUCCUGUCCAACGUUAAUCGGGGCAGGGUGAGUCGACCCCUAAGGCGAGGCCGAAAGGCGUAGUCGAUGGGAAACGGGUUAAUAUUCCCGUACUUGGUGUUACUGCGAAGGGGGGACGGAGAAGGCUAUGUUGGCCGGGCGACGGUUGUCCCGGUUUAAGCGUGUAGGUGUGUGUUCCAGGUAAAUCCGGUUCACUUUAACACUGAGGCGUGACGACGAGGCACUACGGUGCUGAAGCAACAAAUGCCCUGCUUCCAGGAAAAGCCUCUAAGCAUCAGGUAACAUCAAAUCGUACCCCAAACCGACACAGGUGGUCAGGUAGAGAAUACCAAGGCGCUUGAGAGAACUCGGGUGAAGGAACUAGGCAAAAUGGUGCCGUAACUUCGGGAGAAGGCACGCUGACACGUAGGUGAAGUGAUUUACUCAUGGAGCUGAAGUCAGUCGAAGAUACCAGCUGGCUGCAACUGUUUAUUAAAAACACAGCACUGUGCAAACACGAAAGUGGACGUAUACGGUGUGACGCCUGCCCGGUGCCGGAAGGUUAAUUGAUGGGGUCAGCGCAAGCGAAGCUCCUGAUCGAAGCCCCGGUAAACGGCGGCCGUAACUAUAACGGUCCUAAGGUAGCGAAAUUCCUUGUCGGGUAAGUUCCGACCUGCACGAAUGGCGUAAUGAUGGCCAGGCUGUCUCCACCCGAGACUCAGUGAAAUUGAACUCGCUGUGAAGAUGCAGUGUACCCGCGGCAAGACGGAAAGACCCCGUGAACCUUUACUAUAGCUUGACACUGAACAUUGAGCCUUGAUGUGUAGGAUAGGUGGGAGGCUUUGAAGCGUGGACGCCAGUCUGCGUGGAGCCGACCUUGAAAUACCACCCUUUAAUGUUUGAUGUUCUAACGUGGACCCGUGAUCCGGGUUGCGGACAGUGUCUGGUGGGUAGUUUGACUGGGGCGGUCUCCUCCUAAAGAGUAACGGAGGAGCACGAAGGUUGGCUAAUCCUGGUCGGACAUCAGGAGGUUAGUGCAAUGGCAUAAGCCAGCUUGACUGCGAGCGUGACGGCGCGAGCAGGUGCGAAAGCAGGUCAUAGUGAUCCGGUGGUUCUGAAUGGAAGGGCCAUCGCUCAACGGAUAAAAGGUACUCCGGGGAUAACAGGCUGAUACCGCCCAAGAGUUCAUAUCGACGGCGGUGUUUGGCACCUCGAUGUCGGCUCAUCACAUCCUGGGGCUGAAGUAGGUCCCAAGGGUAUGGCUGUUCGCCAUUUAAAGUGGUACGCGAGCUGGGUUUAGAACGUCGUGAGACAGUUCGGUCCCUAUCUGCCGUGGGCGCUGGAGAACUGAGGGGGGCUGCUCCUAGUACGAGAGGACCGGAGUGGACGCAUCACUGGUGUUCGGGUUGUCAUGCCAAUGGCACUGCCCGGUAGCUAAAUGCGGAAGAGAUAAGUGCUGAAAGCAUCUAAGCACGAAACUUGCCCCGA